Molecule: ribosomal RNA, 442 nt
Filed under: uncultured bacterium
Lineage: Bacteria
Description: partial 16S ribosomal RNA
Rfam family: Bacterial small subunit ribosomal RNA
Source: RNAcentral
CCUACGGGAGGCAGCAGUAGGGAAUCUUUCACAAUGGGCGAAAGCCUGAUGGAGCAACGCCGCGUGCAGGAUGAAGGCCUUCGGGUUGUAAACUGCUGUUAUAAGCGAGAAAUAUGAUGGUAACUUAUGAAUAAGGAUCGGCUAACUACGUGCCAGCAGCCGCUGUCAUACGUAGGAUCCGAGCAUUAUCCGGAGUGACUGGGUGUAAAGAGUUGCGUAGGUGGCAUAAUAAGUAGCUAGUGAAAUCUGGUGGCUCAACCAUUCAGACUAUUAGCUAAACUGUUAAGCUCGAGACCGUUAGGGGUAACUGGAAUUUCUAGUGUAGGAGUGAAAUGCGUAGAUAUUAGAAGGAACACCAAUAGCGUAGGCAGGUUACUGGGACGGUUCUGACACUAAGGCACGAAAGCGUAGGGAGCAAACGGGAUUAGAUACCCUGGUAGUC